This is a transfer RNA of Sus scrofa (pig), 82 nucleotides long. It matches the Rfam family "tRNA". Rfam says of the family: Transfer RNA (tRNA) molecules are approximately 80 nucleotides in length. Their secondary structure includes four short double-helical elements and three loops (D, anti-codon, and T loops). The record is from Rfam. Lineage: Eukaryota; Metazoa; Chordata; Mammalia; Artiodactyla; Suidae.
ACUGUGAUGGCGGAGUGGUUAAGGUCUUGGACGCGAAAUCCAAUGGGGUUUCCCUGCGCAGGUUCAAAUCCUGCUCACAGCG